This is a non-coding RNA of Vicia faba (fava bean), 375 nucleotides long. Lineage: Eukaryota; Viridiplantae; Streptophyta; Magnoliopsida; Fabales; Fabaceae. The record is from the annotation of a GenBank genome assembly.
AUGAAACUUAUAAUUGACUAUGCUUUUCUCAUUCUUAUUCAAAACACAAGAAAACAUAGUGGUCAAUGCUUUUACCUGGGUGGAAAUUCUCUCUACCAUUUCAAAACUUUAGGCUCAAACUCAUCUUUCUCAUUUCUUUUUUUUUUGUAUACCAUAUCAACUUCCCUAUCGUCUCAUACUUCUUCCUCUGCUGCAUCCAGGAGGAGAAGUUGUUGGCUAAGAAGGAAGAUCAAUUUUCUCUUGAUUCUGCCAUUAAUGAACUCAACCCAUGUGUAUAGUGACACCAAAUUUGAUGGUGAAUCUCUCUUCAAGAUUUUCAGGAACAUUCUCGAAAUUGGUGAAAAAGGACUAGUCCACCGUGAUUUUGGAAUGUAA